Canis lupus familiaris (dog) is the source of this 900-nucleotide long non-coding RNA. RefSeq lists it as uncharacterized. The record is from RefSeq and is a predicted model, not a curated record. The transcript has 4 exons. NCBI's taxonomy places the organism in Eukaryota, Metazoa, Chordata, Mammalia, Carnivora, Canidae.
GCCAAUCAGAGAAAUCCAGAUCAGCAAUCACAUAGGAUGCCCUCCUCUAGUUAGCCGUCCUGCAGCUUCCAGCCAACAGCCUCCAGCCAGGGCACCCUGAGAGCCAUCCCUGUUCCAACCACAAAGGUCGACCACUCCUCUGUCUGCCUUUGAGUCCCUGCCAGAAGAACCACCUGUCUGCCCUCCCCCAGCCUGUUGACAUUAACAUCACUCUACUGCUCCAAGCAGAUAACCUGACUGUUCACCGUAAGAACUUCCCAAAAGAUUAACCAGCUCUUCAUGGGAAGCAUCCACAGAGUGGUUGCAGCCUGAGAUUCCCUUGCUUCAAAAUCUUUGCCCUGCCGUCUCCACCCAUUCCAGACCAUGACAGACUCAACAUACAACGAGCAGUGCCGGGACAACAUACACAAUAGAACUCUGACCCACAAUAUGCAGCAGCCAGCCCAAGAACGAGUCAUCAUCAACAGUAACCAGCAGGGGAAGCCAACCUACUGCCUACAAAUCAGACUUCUAGGAAGUCAGCUCCCUGUCUCUAGCAAACAGUCUACGAAGCCAGUGACUCCGAGAGAGAGGACACAUGCAUGGGGGAGGAGCAGAGGGAGAGGGAGGAGUGACUCCCUGUUAACAGGGAGCCCCCAUACGGAGCUGGAUCCCAGGACCCCAGAUCAGGACCUGAGCUGAAGGCAGACGCUUCACCAACUGAGCCACCCAGAUGAAGAAAACACAGACCAUAUUUUGUUACCAGUUGCUUGGACAAUGCCUGAAGUAUCUGAGGACUUCAUAAACAUGAACUUUCAGUAAUAAUGAGACACUUUGUAGAGAAUGCCCAACAAAAGGUGGCCUAUUAACAUCUAUGCUGUUUCUCACCUGCUGUCUUGAAUCUCUCUGAACUAUAAAUAC